UUAUUAUUAUAUAUAUAUAUAAUUUAUUUAUGAAUAUAUUAUACGUUAAUUAAACAUAAUUUAUUAUUUAUAUGUGAGAGAGAGAAAUGAAAAUAAUAGAGUUUGAGGGUAUUUUUGUCCUUUCAUACAUUUAUCCCAAGGAUAAAUUAUGGUGGGAUUGUUAUCUCACCAAUUGAGUGGAUAAGUUAUCCCGGGACUAUUAGUUAGUCCCGGAAUAAGUUAUCCCAAAUAUUGUCAACCAAACAUGCAAUAGAAAAUUUUAUCCCGGGAUUAUUAUUUUAUCCCGGGAUUAUUUACUUCAACACCUCAAACCAAACGACCCCUUAGUAUUCAGUAGAGGCUUCAUAGACAGUAUUUGAAGUGUUGUAUUGUCUUAUCAUGUAGACACAAUUUGGAUUAUAAGUUUCCAUUGAACACUGUAAUAUCUUCCACACUUUGAUUUAUGUAUGGGUUAUGCUUGUGAUUACAUGCUAAGGGGUCUCUCAGUCCUUGAUGGUUCAAGAUGUCUGUCGCAACCAGGAUCUCGGCUCGGGUCGUGACAAAAAUAGAAGCAUCCAUCUAAUUUAAAAACACUUGAGACCUCCCACUAACAACAGGCUAGAAUCAAUAAGCACUUCAGGGAACACACAGACAUAGCAUUACAUGCAGUUACUGAGAUAGCAAGAAGAAGCCCUCAACAAUAUAUCACAAUAACACAUUUGAAAAUGGACAUGUUAGUGUAAGUAUUAAUUUAGGAAAAAAGUCAUGGGUUAAACGGUUUUCUAAAAUAGCACUACAGGUUUUAUGCUUUCUAGGAGCAGUAUAACCUUUAAGGGUCGUUUAGCUCAAAACAAAGCUAUCGCUGUUACAAUCUCGGAUUUUGGUAUAGAGUUUACCCAGAUUUAAGCUAAUUCUCACAACCAAACAUGAAACAAAUUUCAUCUCAAAUUUUAUAACAUCACCCCCUUAAAUUGCUACACCCAAAUUGCCCCUAAGAGAUUCAUACAUUUCUAAUAAGUUGUAUUUGUAUUAGCAUAAUAUCGUCAUGGAGCAUGAAAUGAGUGUAACAUGAAAUGAGUGUAAAUGUAACAUGAAAUGAGUGUAAAUGGAGUAAAAUGGUCAGUGACGAUUCAUAUAGCCAAAGACACAACUAAUUUGGGACUAGGGCAGUUGCUAUCGAUGAUCAAUUUAUCCCUAACAUCACUGCAAGAUGCAGUUCAGAAAAUUUAUUGCCUAGGUUGAUAAAUAGAUGACAUUAGUGCAAGAUAUUGUUUAAAAUUUUCCAAAUUGCAACUAACUUGCCUAGAAGUUGUCACCAAGCAACUUUCCUAACUUGAAUAGAAAACAAAUUCAAGGUACUUUUCUAACAUUAAACUACCCUAAAAUAACAUUUUUUUUCCAGAUUAAAACUUAUUACUUACUUGUUUGGCUCUUAAUCCCAGCUUUCGGCAACUAACCUUUACUUAAGAGAUAGUUAAGGCGCUAAGGAAUACCUCACUACUAUCUAUUUAUUUGUGAUAAAUAUCUUGGUUAAUAAUUACUUCAGUUUCAAUACAUCUUAGACUGGUUGAUUUAGUUGAGCUGCACGAUAAGUUUUUUUUUUUCUUUUAAAAAAAAAGUACAUCUUAGGUCUAGAGAACUGAUAUCAACAUUAAAAAAUAAAAAAAAAUAAAAAAAAUUUGAAGCAAUCAUUUGAAACAACUCAUAUAUAACAAGCGUAAACCUAAGUUGAUAAAACGAAAUCGUCCAUUCCCUAAACCAUUCUCCGUGAAAGCAAAUCAUUACAUAUAUAAUAAAUAAACC
This 1782-nucleotide long non-coding RNA is filed under the name Capsicum annuum. RNAcentral describes it as "long non-coding RNA (CANN_LNC013075)". Lineage: Eukaryota; Viridiplantae; Streptophyta; Magnoliopsida; Solanales; Solanaceae. The record is from RNAcentral.